AAUGCUGCUGGUUCAUCAAAAGUUCAAAACAGUGUUGCUGGCUAUUUGGAGCAUAGGAAGAGGUGAAGAAGAACUAACAUUGAGGACUUGUUAGUGGGCAGUGUAAGCACAGUGUUCACAGAAGAAGGAAUUUUCAGAUUGCCCUAAGAAGCAGAUGUGAUAAUAAGGAUGAUGUCAAAUUGCUGUAUUGCCGGUUCCUUUUCUCAGAG
Molecule: long non-coding RNA, 209 nt
Filed under: Rosa chinensis
Lineage: Eukaryota; Viridiplantae; Streptophyta; Magnoliopsida; Rosales; Rosaceae
Description: sRNA RchiOBHm_Chr6g0304971
Source: RNAcentral